GGGAAAUUUACCAGGUCAAAAACAUGGUUGGGAUUGACAGAUUGAGAGCUCUUUCUUGAUUUAUGGGGUGCUGGUGCAUGGCGCUUCUUAGUGGUGGAGUGAUUUGUCUGGUAAUUCCGUUAACGAACGAGACCUUAACCUGCUAACUAGUGCGCUUGUGAACAACAGGUGGCACUUCUUAGAGGGACUAUGUCUUUUAAAGACAUGGAAGUUUGAGGCAAUAACAGGUCUGUGAUGCCCUUAGAUGUCCUGGGCCGCACGCGCGCUACAAUGACACGUUCAGCAAGUUUUUUCCUGUUCCGUAAGGAUACGGGUAAUCUUUUUAAUACGUGUCGUGUUAGGGAUCGAUCUUUGCAACUAUAGAUCUUGAACGAGGAAUUCCUAGUAAGUGCAAGUCAUCAGCUUGUACUGAUUACGUCCCUGCCCUUUGUACACACCGCCCGUCGCUCCUACCGAUUUCGAGUGGUCCGGUGAACCUUCUGGACUGUGAUUACUCCAGUAGUUACGGGAAGUUAAGUAAACCUUAUCACUUAGAGGAAGGAGAAGUCGUAACAAGGUUUCCGUAGGUGAACCUGCGG
RNAcentral lists this ribosomal RNA (578 nucleotides) under uncultured eukaryote. Its description in RNAcentral is "SSU rRNA". It matches the Rfam family "Eukaryotic small subunit ribosomal RNA", at positions 1208 to 1820 of the family's 1831-position model. The record is from RNAcentral.